GGAGAGGUGGCCGAGUGGUUGAAGGCGCCGCUCUCGAAAAGCGGUAUACGUUCACGCGUAUCGCGGGUUCGAAUCCCGCCCUCUCCGCCA
Molecule: transfer RNA, 90 nt
Filed under: Chloroflexota bacterium
Lineage: Bacteria; Bacillati; Chloroflexota
Also listed under: 2 other names
Description: Chloroflexi bacterium tRNA-Ser
Rfam family: tRNA
About the family: Transfer RNA (tRNA) molecules are approximately 80 nucleotides in length.
Source: RNAcentral